This 198-nucleotide ribosomal RNA is filed under the name uncultured bacterium. Its description in RNAcentral is "partial 16S ribosomal RNA". It matches the Rfam family "Bacterial small subunit ribosomal RNA", at positions 326 to 539 of the family's 1533-position model. The record is from RNAcentral.
ACGCUCGACACCUACGGGAAGCAGCAGUGGGGAAUAUUGCACAAUGGGGGAAACCCUGAUGCAGCGAUGCCGCGUGAAGGAAGAAGUAUCUCGGUAUGUAAACUUCUAUCAGCAGGGAAGAAAAUGACGGUACCUGACUAAGAAGCCCCGGCUAACUACGUGCCAGCAGCCGCGGUAAUCUGAGCGGGCUGGCAAGGC